Ornithorhynchus anatinus (platypus) is the source of this 1383-nucleotide long non-coding RNA. RefSeq lists it as uncharacterized. The transcript has 2 exons. The record is from RefSeq and is a predicted model, not a curated record. Lineage: Eukaryota; Metazoa; Chordata; Mammalia; Monotremata; Ornithorhynchidae.
GAAGUCAGAAGGACCUGGGUUCUAAUCCUAGCUCUGCCGUGUGUUUACUGCAUCACCUUGGGCAAGGCACCCCAAUGCUCUCCCCCUCAGAUAUGUCACCUGUAAAACUGGGAUUAACACCGUGAGCCCCAUGUGGCACGGGGAUUGUGUCCCAACUGAUAAAUUGUGCCUCUCGUGGUGGUGAGUACAGUGCUUGAUAAAAGUGUUCCGGGCUCUCCGUCGUACACAGUGAGCCCCCUUAAGGGUGGACCGCCACAACCUGGGACCCGUUGGACACGCCGAACCCCCUGAGGGCAGGGCCACCGAAGGCAGGGCGGCCGGCUGUGAUCUGUGGCUCAGCCCCCUUCCCACCCACCACUACCGAGGGCAAGUCUGCCACAACUGUGGAGAGGUCUGAAGCUGUGAGGCCAUCCAGGGCAGAGCCGCUGUGAAGUUAUGCCCGGGUGACGCUGGGAGCCCCCCGAGGGCAGGACCGCUGCAGUGUUGGACCCGUCGGAUACUGUGAGCUCCCCCCCCCCCGAGGGCAGGGCCCCCAAAACCUUCUGCCCAUGUGACACUGUGAGCUCAUCCAGAGCAGAGGCGCCGUAACGUUGUACCCGUGUGACACUGUGAGCCCUUGAGGGCAGGGCAGCCGCAACUUUGGACCCGUUGGAUACUGUGAGUUUUUUUUUUUUCACCCCACCCCCACCCCCUUAGGGUGGGGCCACAAAAAUGUUCUGCUGGUGGGACACUGUGAGCCCAUCCAGGGCAGAGCUGCUGUGAUGUAUCUGGGUGAUACUGUGAGCCCUCGAGGGCAGGGCCCCUGCAACUUUGGACCCGUCUGAUACUGAGCCUCCCUCCCUCCCCCCCCGCCCCCGCUUAGGGCAGGGCCAUAAAAAUGUUCUUCAUGUGUGACACUGUUAGCUCAUCCAGAGCAGAGCCGCGAGACGUUGUACCUGUGUGACACUGUGAGCCCUCAAGGGCAGGGCCUCUGCAACAUUGGACCCGUCCGAUACUGUGAGUCCCCCGCCAAGGCAGGGCCACAAAAAUGUUCUGCCCGUGUGACACCGUGAGCCCAGCCAGAGCAGAGCUGCCGUGCCAUUAUAUCUGAGUGACACGAGCCCUCGAGGUCAGGGCCGCUGUAACAUUGGACCCGUCGGACACUGAGUCCCCUCCCUUAGGGCAGGGCUACAAAAAUAUUCUGCACAUGUGACACUGAGCCCUUCUAGAGCAGAGCCGCCGUGAUGUUGUAUCUGUGUGACACUGAGCCCUCGAGGGCAGGGCCAUAGCAAUGUUGUGCCUGUGUAACAUUGUAAGCCUUUAGCACCUGGGCAUCGGAAAGCAUGAUUAAAAAUAUAGGUGGUGGCAAAAGGGGGGUGGCCUUCAUCUUCCCAUUUGGUUCUU